UAUGGUGUGUGCCAGCAGCCGCGGUAAUCCGGAGGAUCCGAGCGUUAUCCGGAUUUAUUGGGUUUAAAGGGAGCGUCGGCGGAUUGUUAAGUCAGUUGUGAAAGUUUGCGGCUCAACCGUAAAAUUGCAGUUGAUACUGGCAGUCUUGAGUGCAGUAGAGGUGGGCGGAAUUCGUGGUGUAGCGGUGAAAUGCUUAGAUAUCACGAAGAACUCCGAUUGCGAAGGCAGCUCACUGGAGUGUAACUGACGCUGAUGCUCGAAAGUGUGGGUAUCAAACAGG
Molecule: ribosomal RNA, 280 nt
Filed under: Bacteroides caccae
Lineage: Bacteria; Pseudomonadati; Bacteroidota; Bacteroidia; Bacteroidales; Bacteroidaceae
Description: partial 16S ribosomal RNA
Rfam family: Bacterial small subunit ribosomal RNA
Source: RNAcentral